Molecule: long non-coding RNA, 270 nt
Organism: Myripristis murdjan (pinecone soldierfish)
Lineage: Eukaryota; Metazoa; Chordata; Actinopteri; Holocentriformes; Holocentridae
Exons: 3
Source: RefSeq, a predicted model, not a curated record
GCCAUAUAUCACUACGCACUUGAGCCUCUUCACAUGCCCCACCGGAACAGAGCGCGACCGUUACUUCUUCUGGCUGAAGGUGGUGUUUUCCCGAGAACAGAGACAGAAAACCAAGAAGUACAGACAGAAGAGGAGUUGAUCUUGACUUCCUGGUUUGUGACACAGAGUAGAGAGAUUAAGAGGCUGUAAGAAAAUGCUCCCUCCAGCCAAGUCCUCAGGAUUCUGAAGUUGAGGAUGAGAUUAAGGUGUGGCUACGGAAUUCAAGAGACA